UAGUGGCGAACGGGUGAGUAACACGUGAKAACCUGCCCUUAACUCUGGGAUAAGCCUGGGAAACUGGGUCUAAUACCGGAUAUGACUCCUCAUCGCAUGGUGGGGGGUGGAAAGCUUUAUUGUGGUUUUGGAUGGACUCGCGGCCUAUCAGCUUGUUGGUGAGGUAAUGGCUCACCAAGGCGACGACGGGUAGCCGGCCUGAGAGGGUGACCGGCCACACUGGGACUGAGACACGGCCCAGACUCCUACGGGAGGCAGCAGUGGGGAAUAUUGCACAAUGGGCGCAAGUGAUGCAGCGACGCCGCGUGAGGGAUGACGGCCUUCGGGUUGUAAACCUCUUUCAGUAGGGAAGAAGCGAAAGUGACGGUACCUGCAGAAGAAGCGCCGGCUAACUACGUGCCAGCAGCCGCGGUAAUACGUAGGGCGCAAGGUUAUCCGGAAUUAUUGGGCGUAAAGAGCUCGUAGGCGGUUUGUCGCGUCUGCCGUGAAAGUCCGGGGCUCAACCCCGAUCUGCGGUGGGUACGGGCAGACUAGAGUGAUGUAGGGGAGACUGGAAUUCCUGGUGUAGCGGUGAAAUGCGCAGAUAUCAGGAGGAACACCGAUGGCGAAGGCAGGUCUCUGGGCAUUAACUGACGCUGAGGAGCGAAAGCAUGGGGAGCGAACAGGAUUAGAUACCCUGGUAGUCCAUGCCGUAAACGUUGGGCACUAGGUGUGGGGGACAUUCCACGUUUUCCGCGCCGUAGCUAACGCAUUAAGUGCCCGCCUGGGGAGUACGGCCGCAAGGCUAAAACUCAAAGGAAUUGACGGGGGCCGCACAAGCGGCGGAGCAUGCGGAUUAAUUCGAUGCAACGCGAAGAACCUUACCAAGGCUUGACAUGGACUGGAAAAGUGCAGAGAUGCACUCCCCUCUUUGAGGCCGGUUCACAGGUGGUGCAUGGUUGUCGUCAGCUCGUGUCGUGAGAUGUUGGGUUAAGUCCCGCAACGAGCGCAACCCUCGUUCUAUGUUGCCAGCGCGUUAUGGCGGGGACUCAUAGGAGACUGCCGGGGUCAACUCGGAGGAAGGUGGGGACGACGUCAAAUCAUCAUGCCCCUUAUGUCUUGGGUUCACGCAUGCUACAAUGGCCGGUACAAAGGGUUGCGAUACUGUGAGGUGGAGCUAAUCCCAAAAAGCCGGUCUCAGUUCGGAUUGGGGUCUGCAACUCGACCCCAUGAAGUCGGAGUCGCUAGUAAUCGCAGAUCAGCAACGCUGCGGUGAAUACGUUCCCGURCCUUGUACACACCGCCCGUCAAGUCACGAAAGUUGGUA
This 1306-nucleotide ribosomal RNA is filed under the name Arthrobacter sp. RNAcentral's name for it is "bacterial SSU rRNA". Lineage: Bacteria; Bacillati; Actinomycetota; Actinomycetes; Micrococcales; Micrococcaceae. The record is from RNAcentral.